This 1282-nucleotide long non-coding RNA is filed under the name Serinus canaria (Common canary). Its description in RNAcentral is "lncRNA (ENSSCAG00000011749.1)". The record is from RNAcentral. Lineage: Eukaryota; Metazoa; Chordata; Aves; Passeriformes; Fringillidae.
CGUGUGCCCGGACCCGCUCCCUGGGCGGGCCGCGGGGGCUCGGCGGUUGCAGGGUCUCCCCUUUCAUGCCCGUGCAUUCUGCCCUCCGUGCCCGCAGAGCGUUCCUUCCUCCCGGUGCUGAGGACGGGACUGGGCAGGGAGACCCUGCCUGGGCCUGGUCUGUCCCAGGCAGGUGCCCAUGUGUCGGCAGGUGGUUUUCCUUGGACAGGGCCUUUGCUGAGGGAAGACUGGAGUCUGAGUGAGGACUGGGGCAAUGCCCCCAGUGCUGGAGCCGUGCUGGUGACCAUUCUUCCUGGGGGCAGCUGGUGCCAGCCAAGUGCCACUGCCGGCAGUGCCGGUUCGCGGCCGGUUUCCUGCCCAGCCGUGCGACACGGCCGAUUAGGAGCUGCUGUUCCACCCCAGCAGUGACAGUGCUGGGCUGCGAGGACUUCACCGUGUGAGAUAAGGAAGGUGCCGGCCCCUGCGGCCUGGCUCGGGUGUUGUCAGAUACAACCCAUUAGCAGGAGAGCGCCGUGGGGAGUGGUUCUGCCAGCAGCCUCUGGUGCUUCCCGGAAUCACCUGGAAGACAUCCCGGGUCAUCUCUCAGCAUUAGAAACGUCCCGCUCAUCCUGGUGCGGUGGACGCAGGGAGUGCACAGCUGCCUCCAGCCCCUGCCACUGUUCCUGUGCUGGGGGCAGCACAGCCCACAGCUGCCCUGAAGCCCUUAAGCUGAGUUGGUUUAGCCAAGGACAUUCUGCGAGGCUGUAGCGUGGUGGGAACCGACGGCGAGUCUCUUUCUGGUGGGAUUGUGCUGACGCCAGUGUCUGCCCCACGGCUCAUGGCCUCUCUUCAGCCGUCUGCCUCGGCAGAGAGCAAAUCCCAGGGCGAGCAGCUGGCGGCACAGAUGUGCGCUCCCCCUGCUCCUGCCGGGGCGUGGGGCUGCAUUCCCACCCCCUUCCCAGCAUCUCCCCGUGGGGACAACAGCGAGACUGAGCCCAUCCCAGAGCAGAACUGACCGAGAGCAGUGGUGUGGCUCAAACGCCUCUGGACCGUGGGGAAGAGGUGUCCUGGUGGGGAACCAUCCUGGCUGCUCCUGCCUUGCCGAGCUGCAGCACCGCUGGUGGCAUCCUGCGUGGGACCCCCGCAGCAUGGGGACAGUCAGCGAGCUCUGCGCCUCCAGUUUCCAGGCGUUCCUCUGCCCCUCGGUGGCUGCCAAGGCAGGUAGGCACUGCGUGCCCCCCUUCCCUCCGUGCCGCGGGGUUCCCAUCCCCCAGCAGACACGGCGGGGCCCAUGGCUCCAGCU